This 1039-nucleotide long non-coding RNA is filed under the name Gossypium barbadense (sea-island cotton). RNAcentral describes it as "long non-coding RNA (GBAR_LNC000924)". The record is from RNAcentral. Lineage: Eukaryota; Viridiplantae; Streptophyta; Magnoliopsida; Malvales; Malvaceae.
AGAAAAUUGCCAUAUUUGAGUAUGUAUUUGUAAUAAUAUAUAUUAAGUCUAAUCUACGUUGUUUAUAGAAUUGACUGAUCAAUCAUAUCAAAGAACUAAUCAAAAUAUCUGUAAUAGGCCCAAUUCGCCCGGGCCCAUACAAAACCAAAAACCAAAAAAUAAAAACAAAAACAAUGAACAGCCCAGAAUAAGUCAAUAUCCAUUUACAAGUUAUUUAACCCAAAAAAUAUAUAUACAGUCCAGCCCAGAUACAUUUUUUAAAACCCAAUUGCAUAAAUCCUAAACCCAAUUAAUUAAUAACCCAAAGUCUCAGCCCAUUCAAUACAUGACCCAAAGACUGGUCCAGGUGAUUGUUUCAGAAGCUCUAAGGGUUCUCCCUCUCGCGCAGCAGCCAGUAAUUCGGAUGAGCACCACACGUGCGCCACCAGCCCCUCGCGCGCGUCUCCGCUCGUGCUUGUGUACGGCCUUUCCUGUAAAUGGAACAUACGAGAAGGAGAAUGACAGAAUCUACAACAAAUAACAGCAAUAAAAUGUAAUUUUAUUUUUUGAUUUUACUUUGUAAAUCCGGCUAUAAAAGCCGACGAAUGUACCUGCAAAAAACUUACGCAUACUACGCAUACUGAAAUACACAAGGUGAUUUCCAAUUCAAGAUCUCUAAAUGCUUUAUUUUCUUUGAUUUCAUUUUUUUGGAUUUGUGGUUCUUGUAUUCGAAAGAAAAACAAGAAAAAGAAAAAAGGGAAAGGAGCUUACCUCGUAAAUACGCCGUAGGUCUUCUUCUACUUUGUUGAAAUCGAAGUCAGGAGGAGAUCUUGAGGCUAAAAAUUUCGUCCUCUAAGCUUCAAUGUGCAGAUUGUUGUUUGGGGGAUGGGAAUCGGUGGUUUGAAGUGGGGAUUUAGGGGUUGGCUAAAGUAUAGAAAAGGGGCUAGGGUUAUUGGCUGUAUGUUUAAGUUUUAGCCCUUAUAAUUUCAAUUCCGUUAGGUUAUUUUAUUUCCUUUUCAUUUUGAAUUUAUUUUUAUUAAAUUUUCUAUUUAUAUAAUUC